AGAGUUUGAUCAUGGCUCAGAUUGAACGCUGGCGGCAGGCCUAACACAUGCAAGUCGAACGGUAACAGGAAGAAGCUUGCUUCUUUGCUGACGAGUGGCGGACGGGUGAGUAAUGUCUGGGAAACUGCCUGAUGGAGGGGGAUAACUACUGGAAACGGUAGCUAAUACCGCAUAACGUCGCAAGACCAAAGAGGGGGACCUUCGGGCCUCUUGCCAUCGGAUGUGCCCAGAUGGGAUUAGCUAGUAGGUGGGGUAACGGCUCACCUAGGCGACGAUCCCUAGCUGGUCUGAGAGGAUGACCAGCCACACUGGAACUGAGACACGGUCCAGACUCCUACGGGAGGCAGCAGUGGGGAAUAUUGCACAAUGGGCGCAAGCCUGAUGCAGCCAUGCCGCGUGUAUGAAGAAGGCCUUCGGGUUGUAAAGUACUUUCAGCGGGGAGGAAGGGAGUAAAGUUAAUACCUUUGCUCAUUGACGUUACCCGCAGAGGAAGCACCGGCUAACUCCGUGCCAGCAGCCGCGGUAAUACGGAGGGUGCAAGCGUUAAUCGGAAUUACUGGGCGUAAAGCGCACGCAGGCGGUUUGUUAAGUCAGAUGUGAAAUCCCCGGGCUCAACCUGGGAACUGCAUCUGAUACUGGCAAGCUUGAGUCUCGUAGAGGGGGGUAGAAUUCCAGGUGUAGCGGUGAAAUGCGUAGAGAUCUGGAGGAAUACCGGUGGCGAAGGCGGCCCCCUGGACGAAGACUGACGCUCAGGUGCGAAAGCGUGGGGAGCAAACAGGAUUAGAUACCCUGGUAGUCCACGCCGUAAACGAUGUCGACUUGGAGGUUGUGCCCUUGAGGCGUGGCUUCCGGAGCUAACGCGUUAAGUCGACCGCCUGGGGAGUACGGCCGCAAGGUUAAAACUCAAAUGAAUUGACGGGGGCCCGCACAAGCGGUGGAGCAUGUGGUUUAAUUCGAUCCAACGCGAAGAACCUUACCUGGUCUUGACAUCCACGGAAGUUUUCAGAGAUGAGAAUGUGCCUUCGGGAACCGUGAGACAGGUGCUGCAUGGCUGUCGUCAGCUCGUGUUGUGAAAUGUUGGGUUAAGUCCCGCAACGAGCGCAACCCUUAUCCUUUGUUGCCAGCGGUCCGGCCGGGAACUCAAAGGAGACUGCCAGUGAUAAACUGGAGGAAGGUGGGAUGACGUCAAGUCAUCAUGGCCCUUACGACCAGGGCUACACACGUGCUACAAUGGCGCAUACAAAGAGAAGCGACCUCGCGAGAGCAAGCGGACCUCAUAAAGUGCGUCGUAGUCCGGAUUGGAGUCUGCAACUCGACUCCAUGAAGUCGGAAUCGCUAGUAAUCGUGGAUCAGAAUGCCACGGUGAAUACGUUCCCGGGCCUUGUACACACCGCCCGUCACACCAUGGGAGUGGGUUGCAAAAGAAGUAGGUAGCUUAACCUUCGGGAGGGCGCUUACCACUUUGUGAUUCUUGACUGGGGUGAAGUCGUAACAAGGUA
Molecule: ribosomal RNA, 1499 nt
Filed under: metagenome
Description: bacterial SSU rRNA
Rfam family: Bacterial small subunit ribosomal RNA
Source: RNAcentral